This 440-nucleotide ribosomal RNA is filed under the name uncultured bacterium. RNAcentral's name for it is "partial 16S ribosomal RNA". It matches the Rfam family "Bacterial small subunit ribosomal RNA", at positions 338 to 795 of the family's 1533-position model. The record is from RNAcentral.
CCUACGGGAGGCAGCAGUGGGGAAUAUUGCACAAUGGGGGAAACACUGAUGCAGCGACGCCGCGUGAGUGAAGAAGUAAUUCGUUAUGUAAAGCUCUAUCAGCAGGGAAGAAAAUGACGGUACCUGAGUAAGAAGCCCCGGCUAACUACGUGCCAGGAGCCGCGGUAAUACGUAGGGGGCAAGCGUUAUCCGGAUGUACUGGGCGUUAAGGGAGCGUAGACGGCAGUGCAAGUCUGGAGUGAAAGGCGGGGGGUCAACCCCCGGACUGCUCUGGAAACUGGACGGCUGGAGUGCAGGAGAGGUAAGUGGAAUGCCUGGUGUAGCGGUGAAAUGCGUAGAUAUUAGGAGGAACUCCAGUGGCGAAGGCAGCUUACUGGACUGUAACUGACGUUGAGGCUCGAAAGCGUGGGGAGCGAACAGGAUUAGAUACCCGAGUAGUC